Molecule: ribosomal RNA, 492 nt
Filed under: uncultured bacterium
Lineage: Bacteria
Description: partial 16S ribosomal RNA
Rfam family: Bacterial small subunit ribosomal RNA
Source: RNAcentral
AAUGAACGCUGGCGGCAUGCUUUACACAUGCAAGUCGAACGGUAACAGGCCUUCGGGUGCUGACGAGUGGCGAACGGGUGAGUAAUGCAUCGGAACGUACCCAGAGGUGGGGGAUAACGCAGCGAAAGCUGUGCUAAUACCGCAUGUGAUCUGAGGAUGAAAGCGGGGGACCGAGCAGCAAUGUUUGGCCUCGCGCCUUUGGAGCGGCCGAUGUCGGAUUAGCUAGUUGGUGGGGUAAAGGCCUACCAAGGCGACGAUCCGUAGCUGGUCUGAGAGGACGACCAGCCAGACUGGGACUGAGACACGGCCCAGACUCCUGCGGGAGGCAGCAGUGGGGAAUUUUGGACAAUGGGGGCAAGCCUGAUCCAGCAAUGCCGCGUGCGGGAAGAAGGCCUUCGGGUUGUAAACCGCUUUUGGCAGGAACGAAACGGUGUCCGCUAAUACCGGGCGCUAAUGACGGUACCUGCAGAAUAAGCACCGGCUAACUACGUG